Molecule: ribosomal RNA, 253 nt
Filed under: uncultured bacterium
Lineage: Bacteria
Description: partial 16S ribosomal RNA
Rfam family: Bacterial small subunit ribosomal RNA
Source: RNAcentral
UACGUAGGGUGCAAGCGUUAAUCGGAAUUACUGGGCGUAAAGCGUGCGCAGGCGGUUUUGUAAGUCUGUCGUGAAAUCCCCGGGCUCAACCUGGGAAUUGCGAUGGAGACUGCAUGGCUAGAAUCUGGCAGAGGGGGGUAGAAUUCCACGUGUAGCAGUGAAAUGCGUAGAUAUGUGGAGGAAUACCGAUGGCGAAGGCAGCCCCCUGGGCUAAGAUUGACGCUCAUGCACGAAAGCGUGGGGAGCAAACAGG